AUGGUGAGAGCGUGGAAACAACACUAUUAUGCAAUAUCUCAAGUUUCCACUCAUCUGUUUAUGGCUUAUUUUGCUACUCUAGAAGAUAUGAUGUUUGUGUUCACCCGUCAGCCCUGGAAAGUGGUAUCGGAUAAUCUGCUGUUGGAAUGGGUUGAUCCGGAAGAUGAAAGCAAGACAAAAGAGGAUUACAAGUUUGAGCACAUCUAUGUAACUGUUAGAGCGUAUGAUAUUAUCUGCACUGUAGGUUCCCCUUCAGAAUUUCAUCCACUUCAGAAUAACAUGUUGUUUGCAAGACCAGAGUACAUAUGGGGUACAUCAAAGCUCAAGGUAAUGCGGCCAUUGGUGGAUAAAAUCAAUCUCACUCUUCCGGAUAAGUCAACCACAACGGUUUAUCUGCAUUAUGAAAAGAUUGGAAGGAUAUGUCUUUAUUGUGGAAUAAUGUUUCAUACCAGUCAGCAUUGUGGGAUAAGAAAUGAUAUAAUCAUGGAGAGAAUAAUGCGGAAGUCAGUCAAUGAAAUUCCUUUUAUGCAAUAUGGAGAGUGGUUAUUAGAUCCUAUGUGUGUGCCUCAACCAUCAGUGCAACCAAGAAGGGAUGACUCAUUAGUUCUUAGCAGGUUCCAAAGAAUGUUUGGAGAAAAGGAUGUGAAAGGGAAAGAACUUGUGGGGUACACCAAAUUUAACCCGAGUCUAACCCAGCUCAUAUGA
RNAcentral lists this ribosomal RNA (705 nucleotides) under Triticum aestivum (bread wheat). RNAcentral describes it as "partial small subunit ribosomal RNA". Lineage: Eukaryota; Viridiplantae; Streptophyta; Magnoliopsida; Poales; Poaceae. The record is from RNAcentral.